RNAcentral lists this ribosomal RNA (421 nucleotides) under uncultured bacterium. RNAcentral describes it as "partial 16S ribosomal RNA". It matches the Rfam family "Bacterial small subunit ribosomal RNA", at positions 361 to 774 of the family's 1533-position model. The record is from RNAcentral.
AUAUUGGACAAUGGGGGAAACCCUGAUCCAGCCAUCCCGCGUGUAUGAUGAAGGCCUUCGGGUUGUAAAGUACUUUUUGCAGAGAAGAAAAGGUACCUCCUAAUACGAGGUACUGCUGACGGUAUCUGCAGAAUUAGCACCGGCUCACUACGUGCCCGCAGCCGCGGUAAUACGUAGGGUUCAAGCGUUAAUUGGAAUUACUUGGCGUAAAGCGUGUGUGGGCGGUUCGGAAAGAAAGAUGUGAAAUCCCAGGGCUCAACCUUGGAACUGCAUUUUUAACUGCCGAGCUAGAGUAUGUCAGAGGGGGGUAGAAUUCCACGUGUAGCAGUGAAAUGCGUAGAUAUGUAGAGGAAUACCGAUGGCGAAGGCAGCCCCCUGGGAUAAUACUGACGCUCAGACACGAAAGCGUGGGGAGCAAACA